RNAcentral lists this long non-coding RNA (1052 nucleotides) under Pongo abelii (Sumatran orangutan). RNAcentral describes it as "lincRNA". Lineage: Eukaryota; Metazoa; Chordata; Mammalia; Primates; Hominidae. The record is from RNAcentral.
GGGGAAGGGAAGUGAGGGGUAGAGGAAGGUGGGUCCCUGGCUAGGGCUCCACCCCCAUGAAUCUAGGGGUGCUCAAUGUCAUCACAAGGGUCCUUAAGAGGGAAAGAGGAAGCCAUGAGGGUCAGAGUCAAAGGAAGACUUGAAGAUACUACACUGAGGACUUUAAAGAUGAAGGAAGGGGCGAAAACCAAGAAUGUGGGAAGCCUCUAGAAGCUAGAGAAGGCAAGGAAACAGAUUUUCCACUAGAGCCUCCAGAAGGAACACAGCCCUGCUGACCCACUGUAAUGUCUGACCUCUAGAUGUGUAAGGGUAGUAAGACUGAAAGUCUCAGAAAGGCACUGUUACAUUCUUAUUCCACAACCAUGCAACUCAAAACUGGGGUCCUCAGCAAUGAGCGAGGGGCGAGAGAAGGCACUGUAUAAACAUGGCACAUCCUCCUGGAAAGUCAACUUUACUCAAAGGCUGCAGGCCGUAUUAUGCUAAAUCAAGGAUACGGGGAGAUAAUUAACAUAGCAACUCUGGCAAGUUUAAUAGAACCGCUGCAUUUAUUGAAGUCAUAAGCUCGUAGUCUAUCUUUAGACUCCUGAUGUAAUUUCUGAAUCACCAACCAUUUCUGAGACCACAAGAUAUUUAAAAAUAAGAUAAGAAAUAUUGACUGAGACACCCUGAAGCCUGCAAGGGAAACGAAGAUACCACGGCAGAGGUUUACAGUGGAAUUUCUCUCCGUAGUUCGUGCACAUUGAAAAUGACAUGAUCUAUCCCAAGGAAUAACUUAAGACCUGAUCCACUUAAACAGCUCCAAGUGAUUUAUCAUAAAUGUGCUUAUUUGGAAGGUUUAGCAGUAACUGCUUAUGGGAGGUGGUGGGGUUAACUACCAAAAUUGUACAUAACUUGGAUCCUGUGUAUGGCAAUUAAUCAAGAAAUUAUAUUCUUUGACUUUCUAACAACCCACACAGAGUGCUACAUCUGUGGCAUGUUUAAAGAGAGAGAGAGAGAGAGGGAUGAAAUAUUUCUUCUAAUAAAAUGCUAAUGGCUUUGUUUUGGAGAAAAAA